This 1641-nucleotide long non-coding RNA is filed under the name Sorghum bicolor (sorghum). RNAcentral describes it as "long non-coding RNA (SBIC_LNC016968)". Lineage: Eukaryota; Viridiplantae; Streptophyta; Magnoliopsida; Poales; Poaceae. The record is from RNAcentral.
GCACCGAAGUACAGUUCUAGCUACGUGACAGCCAGCACUACACACACCAUCCCUUGUCGACACAAAGACAGUUUGUUUGUAACAGGACAGAAGCCAAGAAGAAAGAAAUGGCGUCGACGGUGGCAAGCCUCUCAAUUCCGGCGACCACCUUCGCGGCGGCGGCGGCCGGCGAUGUGCUCCCAAGGAGGAAGGCCGCCGCCACCGGCCGCGUCUGGUUCCCCGUGGCGCGGCGCGGCGGAGGAUUCGCCGUGAGGUCGACCGGGCCGGCCACGCCGUCGAACAUCUCCGACAAGCUGUCGGAGAGCAUCAAGGAGGCGGAGGAGACGUGCGCGGACGAGAAGGGCACCGCGGAGUGCGCGGCGGCAUGGGACAAUGUGGAGGAGAUCAGCGCCGCGGCGAGCCACGCCCGCGACAACCUCAAGGAGAACAGCGACCCGCUGGAGAAGUACUGCAAGGAGAACCCGGAGACCGACGAGUGCCGCAUCUACGACAACUAAUAAUAAGCGCGUGUGUACAAGUAAUUAAUCGAUCACACGUGUUAUUAGUUUGUUAAUGAAUCAAACGUGUUGAGUUAUUAGUUUGUUAUUAUGUAUAGGCGACAUAAAAGGAAUUGAAGGUUGUGUGGGACAUAAGAAUAAUACUCGGGGAGGAGGAAUGAUGAACACUUGUAUGAAACUACUUGAAUGUAUGGCUAUAUCAUCAUUCAUACUAGGAUGACAAGGGCCUCCCCGGUAUGAAAUUGGGAUGGUAUACUAGUAUUUUUUUGGAUUACUUUCUUGUGGCCAAGCGUGUUUAAAGUUUGGGAUGGACUGACAAAUACUUUGCAUUGUUAAGAAUCCAUCAAGUUCAAUUAAUCUCAUCCCAGUUGGUAGUAACUAAUAUUUUCUUUGGACAGUGUGCACAUGAAUUUGUUUCUGCAAACUCUGUUCAAAUCAUGUACAGAAAAACUACUGUAAGCAGCAACAAGGAGGGGGGGCAGUCGGCAUCAACCAAAUUGUCAAACAGAAUAUCUCCUUCUUAGUUGUUACUGUUUAUCUUCUCCCUAGGUUUCUAUACUGUAGCUGAGUUGUUUGUGAGCGAUUCAGUUGGGGUUGCAAACACUUAGGUCCAACACAGAGAAAUGAAUGUCAUGUGUGGAGGCAACACUCCACCAACUAGGCAAGAGCACCAGGGUUCUAUUCUGCCCACCUGCCUCCCUCUCAUAGUCUACCCCUUUUUAUUUUUUCCCUUUUUCUUGAAAAUAGGAUAAACCUGUUUAUAAGAAAGCAAUGUAACUUGGGUUACCAGUUUAACAAAAAAAACAGCUAGGCCUAAAACAUCCAAAAGCGUUUAAACCAUAAAAAGUUUUUUUUUCUAAAACUUGUCAAAAGCACAGGCUUGACAGCGCACUCAAUUACAAUCGAGACUGUCUGAUAAAUCACAAACAUGUCUACUACUCACGCCUAUAGCCCUCUUUGGAGAAAAUCCCUGGAGCGACACCCACGGGUCGCCUAGACUAGGGAUCGAACUGUGGGCGCCUAAACGCUCAGCCUAGCCACAUACAUUGCCAGCACUACCAACUGAGCUACAGGCUCAUUCAGAAACUAUAAGAAUUCAACGUGCACAGAGCAAAAGCAGAACAACAGACUAUGCCUAUUAUAA